GUGGGGAAUAUUGCACAAUGGGGGAAACCCUGAUGCAGCGACGCCGCGUGGAGGAUGACGGCCUUCGGGUUGUAAACUCCUUUUGUCAGGGACAAUGGUGAUGGUACCUGACGAAUAAGCCACGGCUAACUCUGUGCCAGCAGCCGCGGUAAGACAGAGGUGGCGAGCGGUGUUCGGAAUUACUGGGCUUAAAGGGCGCGUAGGCGGGGGUGUAAGUCUGGGGUGGAAUGCUACAGCCCAACUGUAGAGCUGCCUUGGAAACUGCAUUACUUGAGUCGGUGAGGGGAAGGCGGAAUUCCUGGUGUAGCGGUGAAAUGCGUAGAUAUCAGGAGGAAGGUCUGUGGCGAAGGCGGCCUUCUGGCACUUGACUGACGCUGAGGCGCGAAAGCGUGGGGAGCAAACAGGAUUAGAAACCCUGGUAGUCC
This 425-nucleotide ribosomal RNA is filed under the name uncultured bacterium. Its description in RNAcentral is "partial 16S ribosomal RNA". It matches the Rfam family "Bacterial small subunit ribosomal RNA", at positions 354 to 796 of the family's 1533-position model. The record is from RNAcentral.